AGUGAACGCUGGCGGUAGGCCUAACACAUGCAAGUCGAACGGCAGCACAGUAAGAGCUUGCUCUUACGGGUGGCGAGUGGCGGACGGGUGAGGAAUACAUCGGAAUCUACUUUUUCGUGGGGGAUAACGUAGGGAAACUUACGCUAAUAUCGCAUACGACCUACGGGUGAAAGCAGGGGAUCUUCGGACCUUGCGCGAUUGAAUGGGCCGAUGUCGGAUUAGCUAGUUGGCGGGGUAAAGGCCCACCAAGGCGACGAUCCGUAGCUGGUCUGAGAGGAUGAUCAGCCACACUGGAACUGAGACACGGUCCAGACUCCUACGGGAGGCAGCAGUGGGGAAUAUUGGACAAUGGGCGCAAGCCUGAUCCAGCCAUACCGCGUGGGUGAAGAAGGCCUUCGGGUUGUAAAGCCCUUUUGUUGGGAAAGAAAAGCAGCAGGUUAAUACCCCGCUGUUCUGACGGUACCCAAAGAAUAAGCACCGGCUAACUUCGUG
RNAcentral lists this ribosomal RNA (492 nucleotides) under uncultured bacterium. RNAcentral describes it as "partial 16S ribosomal RNA". It matches the Rfam family "Bacterial small subunit ribosomal RNA", at positions 29 to 507 of the family's 1533-position model. The record is from RNAcentral.